Microcebus murinus (gray mouse lemur) is the source of this 287-nucleotide non-coding RNA. The record is from RefSeq and is a predicted model, not a curated record. NCBI's taxonomy places the organism in Eukaryota, Metazoa, Chordata, Mammalia, Primates, Cheirogaleidae.
CUUCUUAUCCCUGAGCUCUGCACUCCAUGGGAACUUCAGUCAGGUGGAAAGUUAUUCUCUUCUCUGCAGCUUGAAGUAUCAGCCCACAGUGGAACACCAAGAAGCAACCUGACCCUGCCUGGAUGGAGGCGAGGGCAGCUGAAGCAAGAGGCUGUGACAAGUCACGAAUAUUGGUUCACGUUAUCUCCUUCUCUUCUCACAAGUGAUACAGUAAUGAUCAGAGGAAAAAACAUCCCAGCCAAUCACCAAUGCAGAGCAGCUGCGAUGAAAGAAAGUGAAUAUCUCCA